UGGGGAAUAAGCGGGGGAGUGGAAAGCCCUCGCGGUGACUGUAGGCCAUGAAUAAGCACCGGCUAAUUACGUGCCAGCAGCCGCGGUAACACGUAAGGUGCGAGCGUUGUUCGGAAUCAUUGGGCGUAAAGGGCAUGUAGGCGGUCUGUCAAGCCAGGCGUGAAAGCCAGGGGCUCAACCCCUGAACUGCGCUUGGAACUGGCGGACUGGAGUCGCUGAGGGGGAACCGGAAUUCCUGGUGUAGGGGUGAAAUCUGUAGAUAUCAGGAAGAACACCGAUGGCGAAGGCAGGUUUCCAGCAGACGACUGACGCUGAGGUGCGAAGGUGC
RNAcentral lists this ribosomal RNA (328 nucleotides) under uncultured Treponema sp. RNAcentral describes it as "bacterial SSU rRNA". It matches the Rfam family "Bacterial small subunit ribosomal RNA", at positions 439 to 762 of the family's 1533-position model. Lineage: Bacteria; Pseudomonadati; Spirochaetota; Spirochaetia; Treponematales; Treponemataceae. The record is from RNAcentral.